This is a regulatory RNA element of Actinosynnema mirum DSM 43827, 93 nucleotides long. It matches the Rfam family "SAM riboswitch aptamer (S box leader)". From Rfam's summary of the family: The SAM riboswitch is found upstream of a number of genes which code for proteins involved in methionine or cysteine biosynthesis in Gram-positive bacteria. Lineage: Bacteria; Bacillati; Actinomycetota; Actinomycetes; Pseudonocardiales; Pseudonocardiaceae. The record is from Rfam.
CUGCCAUCCCGAGCGGCCGAGAGACCUGGCUCCACGACGCCGCAGCAACCACCCUCCCAAGGGGGCAGGUGCUUCCGCCAGGGUCGAUGGAGG